UGGUGGAGUGAUUUGUCUGGUUAAUUCCGAUAACGAACGAGACCUUAACCUGCUAAAUAGUUGCAUGAACAUUACGUUCAUUUCAGCAACUUCUUAGAGGGACUAACUACGUUUAGUAGUUGGAAGUUUGAGGCAAUAACA
RNAcentral lists this ribosomal RNA (141 nucleotides) under uncultured eukaryote. RNAcentral describes it as "partial 18S ribosomal RNA". It matches the Rfam family "Eukaryotic small subunit ribosomal RNA", at positions 1299 to 1458 of the family's 1831-position model. The record is from RNAcentral.